AUUGAACGCUGGCGGCAUGCCUUACACAUGCAAGUCGAACGGUAACAGGUCUUCGGAUGCUGACGAGUGGCGAACGGGUGAGUAAUACAUCGGAACGUGCCCGAUCGUGGGGGAUAACGAAGCGAAAGCUUUGCUAAUACCGCAUAAGAUCUAAGGAUGAAAGCAGGGGACCGCAAGGCCUUGCGCGAACGGAGCGGCCGAUGGCAGAUUAGGUAGUUGGUGGGAUAAAAGCUUACCAAGCCGACGAUCUGUAGCUGGUCUGAGAGGACGACCAGCCACACUGGGACUGAGACACGGCCCAGACUCCUACGGGAGGAAGCAGUGGGGAAUUUUGGACAAUGGGCGAAAGCCUGAUCCAGCCAUGCCGCGUGCAGGAUGAAGGCCUUCGGGUUGUAAACUGCUUUUGUACGGAACGAAAAGACUCUGGUUAAUACCUGGGGUCCAUGACGGUACCGUAAGAAUAAGCACCGGCUAACUACGUGCCAGCAGCCGCCGUAA
Molecule: ribosomal RNA, 498 nt
Filed under: uncultured bacterium
Lineage: Bacteria
Description: partial 16S ribosomal RNA
Rfam family: Bacterial small subunit ribosomal RNA
Source: RNAcentral